This 301-nucleotide ribosomal RNA is filed under the name uncultured bacterium. Its description in RNAcentral is "partial 16S ribosomal RNA". It matches the Rfam family "Bacterial small subunit ribosomal RNA", at positions 509 to 809 of the family's 1533-position model. The record is from RNAcentral.
CAGUCGCCACGGGAAUACGGAGGGUGCAAGCGUUAAUCGGAAUUACUGGGCGUAAAGCGUGCGUAGGCGGUUCGUUAAGUCUGUUGUGAAAGCCCCGGGCUCAACCUGGGAAUGGCAAUGGAUACUGGCGAGCUAGAGUGUGUCAGAGGAUGGUGGAAUUCCCGGUGUAGCGGUGAAAUGCGUAGAGAUCGGGAGGAACAUCAGUGGCGAAGGCGGCCAUCUGGGACAACACUGACGCUGAGGCACGAAAGCGUGGGGAGCAGACAGGAUUAGAGACCCCUGUAGUCCCUGUCUCUUAUAA